This 433-nucleotide small RNA is filed under the name Histoplasma capsulatum var. duboisii H88. Its description in RNAcentral is "Histoplasma capsulatum H88 hypothetical RNA". The record is from RNAcentral. Lineage: Eukaryota; Fungi; Ascomycota; Eurotiomycetes; Onygenales; Ajellomycetaceae.
UAACAUGCUCAGUGUGUUCUUCUCAGCUUCCAUUGGUAUAUACCAAGAUAUCAUCAAGGUAGACAACCACAAAUUUGUCGAGGUAUUCAUAUAACACACUGUUAAUCAUUGCUUGGAAUGUUGCUGGUGCGUUGGUUUGAUCUGUAUGUGGGUGUAAGCUCCCCAUAGGUCUAGAGCUGUAAACCAUUUCACUUCUGCAAACCUAUCCUGAAUUUCUUCAAUAAGCAGUAGUGGGUAUCGGUUUUUCACAGUUAUCUUGUUUAGCUGUCAGUAAUCCACACAUAAUUGCAAACUUCCAUCUUUCUUUGGUACAAAGAUGACAGAAUAUCCUGUCGGUGAUGUUGACAGUUGUAUGAAUCCUUUUUCCUGAUUCUCAUCAAUGUACUUCUGAAGUUCUUCAAGUUCUUUUUCCAUCAUCCAGUAUAUUGGUGCG